GAUGAAGAACGUAGCGAAAUGCGAUACGUAAUGUGAAUUGCAGAAUUCAGUGAAUCAUCGAGUCUUUGAACGCACAUUGCGCCCCCUGGUAUUCCGGGGGGCAUGCCUGUCCGAGCGUCAUUGCUGCCCUCAAGCACGGCUUGUGUGUUGGGCCUCCGUCCUCCUCCCGGGGGACGGGCCCGAAAGGCAGCGGCGGCACCGCGUCCGGUCCUCGAGCGUAUGGGGCUUCGUCACCCGCUCUUGUAGGCCCGGCCGGCGCUUGCCGACACAUCAAUCUUUUUUCCAGGUUGACCUCGGAUCAGGUAGGAAUACCCGCUGAACUUAAGCAUAUCAAUAAGCGGAGGA
RNAcentral lists this unclassified non-coding RNA (345 nucleotides) under soil metagenome. Its description in RNAcentral is "partial contains 5.8S ribosomal RNA, internal transcribed spacer 2, and large subunit ribosomal RNA". The stretch from base 1 to 120 matches the Rfam family "5.8S ribosomal RNA", at positions 35 to 154 of the family's 154-position model. The record is from RNAcentral.